GCCGAGGUGGCGAAAUGGUAGACGCGCUAGUCUUAGGAACUAGUCCCUUCGGGGGUGGAGGUUCGAGUCCUCUCCUCGGCA
Molecule: transfer RNA, 81 nt
Filed under: Candidatus Dojkabacteria bacterium
Lineage: Bacteria
Description: tRNA-Leu
Rfam family: tRNA
About the family: Transfer RNA (tRNA) molecules are approximately 80 nucleotides in length. Their secondary structure includes four short double-helical elements and three loops (D, anti-codon, and T loops).
Source: RNAcentral